RNAcentral lists this ribosomal RNA (422 nucleotides) under uncultured bacterium. RNAcentral describes it as "bacterial SSU rRNA". It matches the Rfam family "Bacterial small subunit ribosomal RNA", at positions 355 to 776 of the family's 1533-position model. RNAcentral also lists the same sequence under 1 other name. The record is from RNAcentral.
UGGGGAAUUUUCCGCAAUGGGCGAAAGCCUGACGGAGCAAUACCGCGUGAGGGAUGACGGCCUACGGGUUGUAAACCUCUUUUUUCAAGGAGGAAAAAUUUCAAAGAGAAAUCAUGACGUGUACUUGAAGAAUAAGCAUCGGCUAACUCCGUGCCAGCAGCCGCGGUAAGACGGAGGAUGCAAGUGUUAUCCGGAAUCACUGGGCGUAAAGCGUCUGUAGGUGGUUUCGUAAGUCAACUGUUAAAUCUUGGGGCUUAACCUCAAAACUGCAGUCGAAACUACUAGACUAGAGUAUAGUAGGGGUAAAGGGAAUUUCCAGUGGAGCGGUGAAAUGCGUAGAGAUUGGAAAGAACACCGAUGGCGAAGGCACUUUACUGGGCUAUUACUAACACUGAGAGACGAAAGCUAGGGUAGCAAAUGGG